AUCUCUUCCUGCACUAAUUUAUCAGCAGCAUCUUUCAGACCACUGCAGCAUUUUAACUAAAGGUGGUGGAGCUUUUUUACGCAUUUUGUCCCCUUAAAAUUGUAUGGUUCUAUCUGAUAUUUUUGACAAAAUUUAGUUGUUCACAUAUUCUUAUUCUGUGUCAAGAUUUUUUUAAUGUUGUGUACAUUAUGGGACUUUUUAUUUAAAAAAAUAUAUAUAUAUAAGGUUCUAUGUACACAGUCAAAUGGAACACAAAAACUUUGAAGCUCAAUAUCUCAAAACAACUUGGAAUGCAGAUAGAACCUUAUAAUUCCAAGGGGACGAUUUGGCUCUGGAAUAGCCUUCCAUGGGAUUUACACAAGCUUCAGUCUGGAUUCAGAAUACCUGAGAAUAGAUGAUGGCAACCCCUCAGAGGACCUCAGAUGAUGCCAACCCUGAAACAACAUACACAACCACCACAUUUUCUUGAAGUUGCGUCCUCACACCAUAGAACAACGAUAAGGGGGUUUGCAGGGGUGGAUGGCACUACUAAGCAGGCGGAAGUUAAAGUCCGGGGAGGAGAAAGGAGGGACUUGGAGCUGGAGGCUCUCAGGCUCAGCCAUAAUGUCAGCCCAAGGUGGAGCCGACGGAGGGAAGAGCUCUGAAGGAGGAAUGGCCACUCUCUCCAGGGGGCCUACCAACAGUGGCAGAGGAGCCCGAGGCAUAGAGCCAGGGGCGAGGGAGCUAGGAGCCGAGGUGGAGCCGCUGGGUCUAUGGGCCAAGGCAGAGGUUGGAGGCGGCGUUAAGGGAUUCUCCUGCCAUGGCGAUGCUUUUCAUCACAAGUGUUAAAAAUAUUUUUAUAUUUUUUUGCCACCUAUGAUAAAGAGGUCAAGAAUAAAAUGAAUAAAUAAAUAAUUGGUGGGUAUCUUACCCAUUCUCACCUUAAA
Carassius auratus (goldfish) is the source of this 926-nucleotide long non-coding RNA. RefSeq lists it as uncharacterized. The transcript has 2 exons. The record is from RefSeq and is a predicted model, not a curated record. Lineage: Eukaryota; Metazoa; Chordata; Actinopteri; Cypriniformes; Cyprinidae.